Molecule: ribosomal RNA, 497 nt
Filed under: uncultured bacterium
Lineage: Bacteria
Description: partial 16S ribosomal RNA
Rfam family: Bacterial small subunit ribosomal RNA
Source: RNAcentral
GAUGAACGCUGGCGGCGUGCCUAAUACAUGCAAGUCGAGCGAACGGACGAGAAUCUUUCUUCUCUGAUGUUAGCGGCGGACGGGUGAGUAACACGUGGAUAACCUACCUAUAAGACUGGGAUAACUUCGGGAAACCGGAUCUAAUACCCGAUAAUAUUUUGAACCUCAUGGUUCAUAAGUGCACGACGGUCUUGCUGUCCCUUAUAGAUGGAUCCGCGCUGCAUUAGCUAGUUGGUAAGGUAACGGCUUACCAAGGCGACGAUGCAUAGCCGACCUGAGAGGAUGAUCGGCCACACUGGAACUGAGACACGGUCCAGACUCCUACGGGAGGCAGCAGUAGGGAAUCUUCCGCAAUGGGCGAAAGCCUGACGGAGCAACGCCGCGUGAGUGAUGAAGGUCUUCGGAUCGUAAAACUCUGUUAUUAGGGAAGAACAGAUGUGUAAGUAACUGUGCACAUCUUGACGGUACCUAAUCAGAAAGCCACGGCUAACUACGUG